Molecule: non-coding RNA, 1268 nt
Organism: Vicugna pacos (alpaca)
Lineage: Eukaryota; Metazoa; Chordata; Mammalia; Artiodactyla; Camelidae
Source: RefSeq, a predicted model, not a curated record
GAGAAAUUAAUUUUAUGAAUAGCUAAAGUGGCUGGUUGUGUUUAGGACUAAAUGCCUGUUUGGGAAAUGGGCUAACAAAGGGUGAAGGUGAAGACCAUUAGAGUUUUUAGAGCUGGCUGAGACGGGUUGCUGGGGUUGUGUAACUGUGCCUAGAGGGCGGGGUUCCUGUACAUUCCUACUUCACCAGAUAACCUGCCCCCAACACUACUUCAGCUUCUGCCAGACAGAUGGAACUCUCCAACAUGAAAAUCUGCGCAGCUAUUCCAACAAGCCAGACUGCCUGAGGUUGUCCAAAGGAUGCCGAGGAAAAAGAUUUAAGGACUGGGAGCGCUCUUACCCCAAAAUCGGAUGAAGAUGGAAUCCAUUUCAGUUUGAAAUGUGUGUUUCACAGCUGCAAUUGGACAUUCUUCUGAUUUGUUGUUUCACUGGUUAGAUGGAUGAUCCAUUCUGGCCUAACUCAAGUGUUCUAAUAGAGACUCCCUUGGUCUAAUACGGGACUCCCCAAAACAGUGGGAGGAAAUCUCUUGGAGUUAUUGAAACUUCUUCAUAUGUAUGAGAGGCUUCUCAUUGGCUGGUGCAAUGCAAGUUGAUGGCACGAUUGUUCACUUAGAAUCAAAGGAUAUCUAUUUAUUGGUGUGCUGUUAUCAGUCAGAAGUUUCCAAAUACAAGUUAUCCAAUUCAAAGGAAAGUAUCUGGAUUCAGGCAGAAAGGCGUCUGUGAAUUGCCAAAGUGUGCAUGAUGCUUCAGCAUUCUUUUUUAAUUUUUGUUUCUGGAACACUCCUCUCCUCUGUAUACUCCAACUACUAGAUAGGUUCCUAGGUUCAUCCAGAUCUGUCCCACAUCUGAAUUUUUGGUCAUUUUCCCACACUCUGGCUCCACAAAUAAAGAAAAAAUUAUAAUAAAGGAAUAAAAAUUGUUUGUUUCUGUCUGACUGAAUCAUUCCAGUUUGAAGCACCCUGGUGGGUUAAUUAGCCUUGUUAUUGCAUUUACUAUCUCCCACAGACUUGUUUGUGGAGAAGUCCUCCUCUUGGCACUUGCCUAGUUGGAUGAGAGAACAUUAGGACGGUGGCACUGGACUUCGCUCUUGAAAUGCACGGGAGUGUGGCAGCAUAAAGCUUGAACAAGCUUAGUUUUCAUUCACAGGGUGCAUCUGGCAUAGCAUCAUCUGCCAGCAUUGAUUUAUUCGGGGCCACACCUUCCAGAGCAAAAGUUCUAGCUUAGUAUGGGGAUUGGUACUAUCAUAAAGAAAAACAUGGUGCCUGUUGUAG